AAAAACGUUCAUUAAAACCUAGGCUUUGGCCCCCGCGCUUCUGGGCCGGGCCAUCUCUCGCUCUCCUUGACGCGAGGCUUCCCUGCAUCUCGCUGUAGAGAUGUGUCAAAAAAUAUUCUUGAUGUAACCAAAAAUCCUGUAGAGAUGUGUCAAAAAAAUUGUAGAGAAAAAAUGAAAAAAGGAAAACAACAAAACAAGAGAAAAUCUAGUGCAUACAAGAAAAAGGAAAAAUUAAAAUUAAAAAAACCUGAGAAGAAACUAGGAAGAAAAGAAUUGUAGAAACAGAAAGAAAAGUUAAAGUCAGUGAACGCAGAGAAUGAAACAAAGGAAACUGAUGAAAAAUAAGGAAAAAAAUGAAACAUGAGUAAACCAAACAAUUGGCAUAGAAAACCAGAGAAAAACAAAACAUUCUGAAGAAAAAAAAGGAAUGUGCGCAGCAUCGAUUAGACCUGGGUGAACGAAAAACACGUAAGUUACCAGGCCUUCCCAUAUGCCUUGUUGCUGAGGGCCCUGAGGGCGAGACGGAUCCACAGAAGGAAUCGUUCCUUGACUUAAAUUUUUGAGAGCAACUAGUCAGCGAAUAGUCCUUCGAGACCCUGCCAGCAAGAACUCCC
This 614-nucleotide long non-coding RNA is filed under the name Hordeum vulgare. Its description in RNAcentral is "long non-coding RNA (HVUL_LNC013177)". Lineage: Eukaryota; Viridiplantae; Streptophyta; Magnoliopsida; Poales; Poaceae. The record is from RNAcentral.